AUUGAACGCUGGCGGCAUGCCUUACACAUGCAAGUCGAACGGUAACGCACCUUCGGGUUCCGCCGAGUGGCGCACGGGUGCGUAAUACAGCGGAACGUACCCGAUCGUGGUGGUUAGCGGGGCAAAAGCUUUGCUAAUACCGCAUACGAUCUCAUGCUUACAGCCGGGGACCGCAGGGCCUUUCCCGGCCUGGGCCGCCGAUGGCAGAUUAGGUAGUUGGUGGGAUAAAAGCUUACCAAGCCGACGAUCUGUAGCUGGUCUGAGAGGAUGAUCAGCCACACUGGAACUGAGACACGGCCCAGACUCCUACGGGAGGCAGCAGUGGGGAAUUUUGGACAAAGGGCGCAAGCCUGAUCCAGCCAUGCCGCGUGCAGGAUGAAGGCCUUCGGGUUGUAAAGUGCUUUUGUACGGAAAGAAAAGCAGUCUUUUAAUACAGGAGGGUCAUGACGGUACCGAAAGAAUAAGCACCGGCUAACUACGUG
This 482-nucleotide ribosomal RNA is filed under the name uncultured bacterium. Its description in RNAcentral is "partial 16S ribosomal RNA". It matches the Rfam family "Bacterial small subunit ribosomal RNA", at positions 30 to 507 of the family's 1533-position model. The record is from RNAcentral.